CCUACGGGGGGCAGCAGUGAGGAAUAUUGGUCAAUGGACGAGAGUCUGAACCAGCCAAGUAGCGUGAAGGAUGACUGCCCUAUGGGUUGUAAACUUCUUUUAUAAAGGAAUAAAACGAGGCACGUGUGCCUUUUUGCAUGUACUUUAUGAAUAAGGAUCGGCUAACUCCGUGCCAGCAGCCGCGGUAAUACGGAGGAUCCGAGCGUUAUCCGGAUUUCUUGGGUUUAAAGGGAGCGUAGAUGGGUUGUUAAGUCAGUUGUGAAAGUUUGCGGCUCAACCGUAAAAUUGCAGUUGAAACUGGCAGUCUUGAGUACAGUAGAGGUGGGCGGAAUUCGUGGUGUAGCGGUGAAAUGCUUAGAUAUCACGAAGAACUCCGAUUGCGAAGGCAGUUCACUGGACUGCAACUGACACUGAGGCUCGAAAGUGUGGGUAUCAAACAGGAUUAGAUACCCGUGUAGUC
RNAcentral lists this ribosomal RNA (460 nucleotides) under uncultured bacterium. RNAcentral's name for it is "partial 16S ribosomal RNA". It matches the Rfam family "Bacterial small subunit ribosomal RNA", at positions 338 to 795 of the family's 1533-position model. The record is from RNAcentral.